Molecule: long non-coding RNA, 378 nt
Organism: Megalobrama amblycephala (Wuchang bream)
Lineage: Eukaryota; Metazoa; Chordata; Actinopteri; Cypriniformes; Xenocyprididae
Exons: 3
Source: RefSeq, a predicted model, not a curated record
CUGGUUGGUUGUUGACAAGGAUGAGCCGGACGCAGCCUUGAAAGGCCAUUGUGGGACUGAAACAGCUGGAUUUGUUGUGGAAUACAGGACAUCCUGAAAAAUGAGAAGAAAAUAAAUGUGACUGUAGGUAGUUCGUCAGCUGGAUGGUGGAUGCGGGCUCACUGUCCAGGGUCAUGACGAUCUGCAGACCUCUAGCGUUGAGACUCACUGAAUGCCACAAACCAUCAUUCACCCUCUGACCUGUCAAUCAAAAUUGCCACGUACUGUUUUAAAGAACACACCGAAGGACUGGCAUAUAAAGUCAAGCUACAGAAGAGCAGAAAGGGGUUUACUCACCAGCUGACACUUCUGACAUCUUCAGAGUUAACGUCUGGUGUG